CAGUAGCCGCGGUAAUACGAAGGGGGCUAGCGUUGUUCGGAUUUACUGGGCGUAAAGGGCGCGUAGGCGGGCGAAUAAGUCAGGGGUGAAAUCCCAAGGCUCAACCUUGGAACUGCCUUUGAUACUGUUUGUCUUGAGUUCGAGAGAGGUAAGUGGAACUGCGAGUGUAGAGGUGAAAUUCGUAGAUAUUCGCAAGAACACCAGUGGCGAAGGCGGCUUACUGGCUCGAAACUGACGCUGAGGCGCGAAAGCGUGGGGAGCAAACAGGAUUAGAUACCCGCGUAGUCCCUGUCUCUUAUAC
RNAcentral lists this ribosomal RNA (301 nucleotides) under uncultured bacterium. Its description in RNAcentral is "partial 16S ribosomal RNA". It matches the Rfam family "Bacterial small subunit ribosomal RNA", at positions 509 to 807 of the family's 1533-position model. The record is from RNAcentral.